Molecule: RNA transcript, 881 nt
Organism: Adelges cooleyi (spruce gall adelgid)
Lineage: Eukaryota; Metazoa; Arthropoda; Insecta; Hemiptera; Adelgidae
Exons: 5
Source: RefSeq, a predicted model, not a curated record
UCAGUUUUGCCAUUGGUAUAAUACUACUGUAUGAAAGCUAAACAUGGCUCCAAAUAAAGUGUACCUAGUUCUGGCUAUCGCUAUCUGUACUGUUUCUGGAAGGGACUUGUACUUAUUCAAACGAGAUGAAGUUGUAGGAGCAUCCUCCCAAAACGAUAAUAUUGCAUCCAGUGGAUUGAUUAAAAGAGAAGCAAUUACAGAAAAAGCAUAUGGAAUGGCUUCUGAAGUACCCGCUGGAUCAGUGACGAGGGACAAAAUCAUACAAGAAAAAAUGACCAAGGCUAGUGGAAUAUCCAGUAGAGUAGUAAAAAGAUGUUGUUGCCCAAAAAAGUGCGAAUCUAAAGCGGAAAAAAUGAGUGAACAUGAUGAAAUAACUGGUUCUUUGGCAUUCGACAUUGAGUCCUCAUCGGAGGUAUGCCAAAUUAUAAAAAAAUAUAUAAAUUCUUUAAAUAAAAUUAUAUUGUCAUGUUUAGAGCGGUCCCCGUAGUUUAGGCGGCGGUAAAGGAAAACCAGGUCAAGGAAAAGGCAAUGGGUGUUCUGGUGGUGGCUCUAAAAAGCCAGGUCCUUGUAAGCAAUAUUCCAAAACGAAAGAGAUUGACAUUGAACGCAGAUGUUCAAAUGAGAUGGGAAAAGAGGCUUCCAAAUGUUUAUGUCAAUGUUGAUAAUCAAUAAUUAUGUAUAUCUUAUAGUAUGCUUAUGAUACAGUAUUAGUUGGAUUAUAAAAACGCAAUAAACAUUUUUGCAUAUUUGUUUUUUUUUUUUGUUAUUUAUUAGUUCUUGUUCAUAUUAUGUGGGAUUUAUUGUUAUCAUACUAAUGAGUAGUAUGCUUUGAACUAUAUGUUAUAGAAUUAACUUACAUAAAUAAACUAUAGACUUUUUAC